UACGUAGGGGGCAAGCGUUGUCCGGAUUUAUUGGGCGUAAAGAGCGUGUAGGCGGCCAUUCAGGUCAGCUGUGAAAACUCGAGGCUCAACCUCGAGACGUCGGUUGAAACCGUUUGGCUAGAGUCCGGAAGAGGAGAGUGGAAUUCCCGGUGUAGCGGUGAAAUGACGCAGAUAUCGGGGAAGAACACCCGUGGCGAAGGCGGCUCUCUGGGACGGUACUGACGCUGAGACGCGAAAGCGUGGGGAGCGAACAGG
RNAcentral lists this ribosomal RNA (255 nucleotides) under uncultured bacterium. RNAcentral's name for it is "partial 16S ribosomal RNA". It matches the Rfam family "Bacterial small subunit ribosomal RNA", at positions 524 to 776 of the family's 1533-position model. The record is from RNAcentral.